Molecule: ribosomal RNA, 406 nt
Filed under: uncultured bacterium
Lineage: Bacteria
Description: partial 16S ribosomal RNA
Rfam family: Bacterial small subunit ribosomal RNA
Source: RNAcentral
AUUGAACGCUGGCGGCAGGCCUAACACAUGCAAGUCGAACGAGUGGCGGACGGGUGGGUACUGUCUGGGAAACUGCCUGCUGGAAGGGGAUAACUACUGGACACGGUAGCUAAUACCGCAUACCAUCGGAUGUCCCCAGAUGGGAUUAGCUAGUAGGUGGGGUAACGGCUCACCUAGGCGACGAUCCCUAGCUGGUCUGAGAGGAGGACCAGCCACACUGGAACGGAGACACGGGCCAGACGCCUACGGUAGGCAGCAGUGGGGAAUAUUGCACAAUGGGCGCAAGCCUGAUACAGCCAUGCAGCGUGUAUGAAGAAGGCCUUCGGGUUGUAAAGUACUUUCAGCGGGGAGGCGUUACCCGCAGAAGAAGCACCGGCUAACUCCGUGCCAGCCGCCGCGGUAAUUC